RNAcentral lists this ribosomal RNA (465 nucleotides) under uncultured bacterium. Its description in RNAcentral is "partial 16S ribosomal RNA". It matches the Rfam family "Bacterial small subunit ribosomal RNA", at positions 338 to 795 of the family's 1533-position model. The record is from RNAcentral.
CCUACGGGAGGCAGCAGUGGGGAAUAUUGCGCAAUGGGCGAAAGCCUGACGCAGCGACGCCGCGUGAGGGAUGAAGGUUUUCGGAUCGUAAACCUCUGUCAGAAGGGAAGAAGUUGCAUGGGGCCAAUCACCUGUGCAUUGACGGUACCUUCAAAGGAAGCACCGGCUAACUCCGUGCCAGCAGCCGCGGUAAUACGGAGGGUGCGAGCGUUAAUCGGAAUUACUGGGCGUAAAGCGCACGUAGGCUGUAUGUCAAGUCAAGGGUGAAAUCCCACGGCUCAACCGUGGAACUGCCUUUGAAACUGGCAAACUGGAGUAUGUGAGAGGGCGGCGGAAUUCCUGGUGUAGGAGUGAAAUCCGUAGAUAUCAGGAGGAACAUCAGUGGCGAAGGCGGCCGCCUGGCACAAAACUGACGCUGAGGUGCGAAAGCGUGGGUAGCAAACAGGAUUAGAUACCCCAGUAGUC